CCUACGGGGGGCAGCAGUAGGGAAUCUUCGGCAAUGGGGGCAACCCUGACCGAGCAACGCCGCGUGAGUGAAGAAGGUUUUCGGAUCGUAAAGCUCUGUUGUAAGUCAAGAACGGGUGUGAGAGUGGAAAGUUCACACUGUGACGGUAGCUUACCAGAAAGGGACGGCUAACUACGUGCCAGCAGCCGCGGUAAU
RNAcentral lists this ribosomal RNA (195 nucleotides) under uncultured bacterium. Its description in RNAcentral is "partial 16S ribosomal RNA". It matches the Rfam family "Bacterial small subunit ribosomal RNA", at positions 338 to 524 of the family's 1533-position model. The record is from RNAcentral.